RNAcentral lists this ribosomal RNA (433 nucleotides) under uncultured bacterium. RNAcentral describes it as "partial 16S ribosomal RNA". It matches the Rfam family "Bacterial small subunit ribosomal RNA", at positions 29 to 507 of the family's 1533-position model. The record is from RNAcentral.
AACGAACGCUGGCGGCAUGCCUAACACAUGCAAGUCGAACGAGACCUUCGGGUCUAGUGGCGCACGGGUGCGUAACGCGUGGGAACCUGCCCUUAGGUUCGGAAUAACUCCCCGAAAGGGGUGCUAAUACCGGAUAAUGUCUUCGGACCAAAGAUUUAUCGCCUUUGGAUGGGCCCGCGUUGGAUUAGCUAGUUGGUAGGGUAAAAGCCUACCAAGGCGACGAUCCAUAGCUGGUCUGAGAGGAUGAUCAGCCACACUGGGACUGAGACACGGCCCAGACUCCUACGGGAGGCAGCAGUGGGGAAUAUUGGACAACGGGCGAAAGCCUGAUCCAGCAAUGACGCGUGAGUGAUGAAGGCCUUAGGGUUGUAAAGCUCUUUUACCCGGGAUGAUAAUGACAGUACCGGGAGAAUAAGCUCCGGCUAACUCCGUG